AUAAAGUUUAAUUCUAGUUUAAAGAUUUAUUUAAUUUUUUUUUUACAUGUAAAUUUUUGUAGGAUAUUAGUUAAAUUUUAAAAAUUUAAUUAAAAUAAUUUAUUCGCAGUAUUUAAUUUUAAUAAUUUAAGAAAUUAAGAAUUAGAAAUAAAUUUUAAUAUUAACAAAUUUUGUGCCAGCAGUUGCGGUUAUACAAAAGAUAUAAAUGAAUUUUAUUAGUAAAUAAUUAUAUGAAUUAUUGAUAAAUUAAAAUAGUAUUUAUUAGGUGAAAUUUUAAGUAUUAAAUUAAUUUAUAAAAAAGUUUUUAUUAUUAUGAAAUUUAUAUUUAAACUAGGAUUAGAUACCCUAUUAUUUUAAAUGUAAAAAGUUUUACUGAAGUAGUAUUAGUUAUGUUCUUGAAAUUUAAAGAUUUUGGCGGUAUUUUAGUCUAUUUAGAGGAACCUGUUCUGUAAUUGAUAAUCCACGAUUAACUUUACUUAUUUUAUAAAUUUGUAUACCGUCGUUAUUAGAAAAUUUUAGCAGAAAAUUAAUUUUUAAUAUUUUAAAUUAAAAAAUAUAUCAGAUCAAGGUGCAGUAUAUAUCUAAGAAGAAAUGGGUUACAAUAAGUUUAUUUAUAUGGAUUAAAGUAAGAAUAAACUUUAUGAAGGUGGAUUUAAUAGUAAUAAAAUUUAAUUAAAUUUUAUGAUUUUAGCUCUAAAAUAUGUACAUAUCGCCCGUCGCUCUUAUUAUAAGGUAAGAUAAGUCGUAACAUAGUAGAUGUACUGGAAAGUGUAUCUAGAAUGAA
This 784-nucleotide non-coding RNA is filed under the name Dyscolus pollens. The record is from RNAcentral. Lineage: Eukaryota; Metazoa; Arthropoda; Insecta; Coleoptera; Carabidae.